GAGGAAUCGAAGAGAAAGGAAAUCGCUGGAUUUUGGAGGCUUUAUGAUUUAUCAGCUUAUUCUAUGGAAUUAAGCCCUGGGCAUCAUGCUAUUUGUCAGGGGCCUGGUUCUAGCGAAGAUAUGUGUUUAUCUUUCACUAUGAGAUCCCAAGAGUCUCCCGAAAUAUUCUGGGCCUCAGAACUGGUUUCUCUGGGUGGCAGAGUAUCAGAACACAGGGCAGAAGGAACCUGUUCCUCAGAGAUCCAAUCGACAUCUCCCUUAAGCCUUUUGCUGCCCUCCACGAACCCAUCCUUUUGUGCUGCCAGCUCCAUGUCCCCAUUCCGGGGGAGGCCAGAAUGACACAUCUACAUGUCACCCCGUAGUCUACAAUGUCGGGAAGGAGCUGUGUCCCUGCUGGAAUUGAAAAACAUCCUUGAGGGCUGCAACUUUUACAGGGAAAGUUACCAUGCCAACGACAGCCUCCUUGCCUGACAGGGAUGAAAGGAAACAAGGCUGUGGGUGACAUGCAUCUAUUGUGUGUCCACAAACUUGCCUGGAAUCUAUCAGGGACUGCGGACUGCUGCUCAGCAGGAUGGAACAGGAGGAUUCAGGUUAGAUUUCAGUGGGACUCCGGGAUGGGCAGGACUGAUGAGGGCAGGGCAGGGCCAGCAAGCGAGGAUUGGGAAAUGCUUCUCUGAGAUUGAUACCCAUCUCUUGGUGAAAUGUGUGGGUGUGGUACUGACAGCAGGCGUGGGAGGGGACGGUGUCCUAGAUACCAGUUUCUGGCUGUGAUGGGAACCUCGACUUCCCCCAGGUUCUUUCUGCCUUCACAGGAUGGUCUAGGAGGUUACCUAUGCUCUGGGUUAGAUAGAAGAGGGCAUGGCAGGUCACUGGGGCAGUGGGGCCACAGGCAUGCCUAUGGAGAAGGCCCAGUCUUGGCGAGGAGGCCCCAAGAUGCCUAAGGAGGAGCGUCUCCUUCAAGGGGCAGGGCUUCCAGGGAGAAUGGCCCCCACUCCCGAACAGGGAAAGGGCACAGAGGACUGAGGAGCUGGCACUGCCGAAGCACCUACGCCACGUCAGGCACUUGACACAGCCCCCAUUUCAUUUAAUUAUCUCCACAAACCUGCACAGCAGGAACUCUCACUCCCAUUUCACGGAGGAGAUGAGGACACAGGCUCAGGAGAAGGUGAGUACCCGUCCCAGCAUCACCCGGCUGGCAAGGGGAGACGCUGGGGCUGGAACCUCGCUGUCUGAACUGGAAAGGAAAACUCCACAUUCAGGGUGCCCUAUUUUCUUCUGGAAAGAUCUCUCCCGAAGCCGUCCGCUCCUCAUUCUGCCCUUCGUACAGGCUUCCCGGGCCUGAGACGGCUGGGAAGAGGCUAAAGGGGCACGACCAGCCGGCGUCUGGGAAACCGCUCCUGCAGCCUGCAACUGCGAGGGCCCGGGGCCGCCACGCGGGCCCCCCGGCAGCCUCUCGUUUCACCCCAGCCUCCGGAGAGGGCCCGAGGCUCAGAGACGAAGGCACUGCACCCAAGGCCACAGAUCGUGCAUGGCUUUGCUGGAAUUCCCACCGGGCCCGCAGGCGUCGAGGCCGCGUAGAACCCCGGAG
This 1588-nucleotide long non-coding RNA is filed under the name Homo sapiens (human). Its description in RNAcentral is "HSALNT0095038". Lineage: Eukaryota; Metazoa; Chordata; Mammalia; Primates; Hominidae. The record is from RNAcentral.